Molecule: ribosomal RNA, 794 nt
Filed under: Rubrivivax sp. M4(sed)b
Lineage: Bacteria; Pseudomonadati; Pseudomonadota; Betaproteobacteria; Burkholderiales; Sphaerotilaceae
Description: bacterial SSU rRNA
Rfam family: Bacterial small subunit ribosomal RNA
Source: RNAcentral
GCUGACGAGUGGCGAACGGGUGAGUAAUGCAUCGGAACGUGCCCAGUAGUGGGGGAUAGCCCGGCGAAAGCCGGAUUAAUACCGCAUACGACCUACGGGUGAAAGCGGGGGACCGCAAGGCCUCGCGCUAUUGGAGCGGCCGAUGUCAGAUUAGGUAGUUGGUGGGGUAAAGGCCUACCAAGCCUGCGAUCUGUAGCUGGUCUGAGAGGACGACCAGCCACACUGGGACUGAGACACGGCCCAGACUCCUACGGGAGGCAGCAGUGGGGAAUUUUGGACAAUGGGCGCAAGCCUGAUCCAGCCAUGCCGCGUGCGGGAAGAAGGCCUUCGGGUUGUAAACCGCUUUUGUCAGGGAAGAAAUCUUCUGGGUUAAUACCUCGGGAGGAUGACGGUACCUGAAGAAUAAGCACCGGCUAACUACGUGCCAGCAGCCGCGGUAAUACGUAGGGUGCAAGCGUUAAUCGGAAUUACUGGGCGUAAAGCGUGCGCAGGCGGUUAUGUAAGACAGAUGUGAAAUCCCCGGGCUUAACCUGGGAACUGCAUUUGUGACUGCAUAGCUUGAGUGCGGCAGAGGGGGAUGGAAUUCCGCGUGUAGCAGUGAAAUGCGUAGAUAUGCGGAGGAACACCGAUGGCGAAGGCAAUCCCCUGGGCCUGCACUGACGCUCAUGCACGAAAGCGUGGGGAGCAACAGGAUUAGAUACCCUGGUAGUCCACGCCCUAAACGAUGUCAACUGGUUGUUGGGAGGGUUUCUUCUCAGUAACGUAGCUAACGCGUGAAGUUGACCGCCUGGGGA